This is a ribosomal RNA of Treponema pedis str. T A4, 2986 nucleotides long. It matches the Rfam family "Bacterial large subunit ribosomal RNA". The record is from Rfam. Lineage: Bacteria; Pseudomonadati; Spirochaetota; Spirochaetia; Treponematales; Treponemataceae.
GGUCAAGCGAAAGAAUAGGUUUAUGGUGGAUGCCUAAAGGAGCUGUAAGGCGAAGAAGGCCGUGGUAAGCUGCGAAAAGUUUCGGGGAGGAGCACACAUCCUGAGAACCGGAAAUAGCCGAAUGGGGUAACCCGUCAGUAGUGAUACUGACAUUACGUACCUGAAUAAAAUAGGGUAGUAAAGCGAUACUGAGUGAACUGAACCAUCUAAGUAACUCAAGGAAAAGAAAUCAAAAGAGAUUCCGAAAGUAGCGGCGAGCGAAAUUGGAGGAGCCUAAACCCUUUAAGGGAGUUGAAGGACUGCAUCGGCGUAGGACCGACAAGUUUAGAGAAAAUCAAUUUAUAGCAGAAAGGUUUUGGGAAAGCCUGGCGAAGAGGGUGAAACCCCCGUAAGCGAAAUAAAUUGAACUUGUUGAUGCGGCACCUAAGUACGGCGGGACACGAGAAACCCUGUCGGAAACCGGGUCGACCACGAUCCAAGGCUAAAUACUAGACAGCUACCGAUAGUGAACAAGUACCGUGAGGGAAAGGUGAAAAGAACCCCAGCUAAGGGGAGUGAAAUAGAACCUGAAACCGUAAACCGACAAGAUGUUACAGCCCGUAAGGGUAGUAGCGUGCCUUUUGUAGAAUGAGCCUGCGAGUUACGGUAUGCAGCGAGGUUAAGGAAUAGGAGUUCCGGAGCCGGAGUGAAAGCGAGCCUAAAUAGGGCGUGUUUCAGCGAAAGCUGAAGUUUAGUUGCAUGUCGUAGACCCGAAGCCGGAGUGAUCUAGUCAUGAGCAGGUUGAAGCAAGGGUAAAACCUUGUGGAGGACCGAACUAUAAUCUGUUAAAAAAGGUAUGGAUGACUUGUGACUAGGAGUGAAAGGCUAAUCAAACCCGGAAAUAGCUGGUUCUCCCCGAAAUGCCUUUAGGGACAGCCUCAUGCAAAAUUAUCGGAGGUAAAGCACUAGUUGGACUAGGGGGUGUCAAAGCCUACCAAACCCAGUUAAACUCUGAAUGCCGAUAAUCAACGUAUGGGAGUGAGACUGCGUGCGCUAAGGUUCGCAAGUCAAAAGGGAAACAGCCCAGACCGUCAGCUAAGGUCCCCAAAUACUGCUUGAGUGUGAAAUGAAGUGUGGAUACAAAGACAGCCAGGAGGUUGGCUUAGAAGCAGCAAUUCCUUUAAAGAGUGCGUAACAGCUCACUGGUCGAGUGUUCAUGCGCAGAUAAUGUAACGGGGCUAAGCAGUAUACCGAAGCUACGGGUCUUACAUAAUUUAAGUGUAAGGCGGUAGGGGAGCAUUCCAUUAACUGAAGAAGGCGUACUCGCGAGAGAUGCUGGAGGAGAUGGAAGAGAGAAUGCAGGUAUAAGUAACGAAAAGAGAGGUGAGAUCCCUCUCCGCCGAAAAUCUAAGGUUUCCUGGGUAAAGGUAAUCUGCCCAGGGUAAGUCGGCCCCUAAGGCGAGGGCGAAGGCCGUAGUCGAUGGGAAAUCGGUUCAAAUUCCGAUACCUUUUAUAAUUUCGAGGGCAGGACGCAUGAGGUGAAACCCGGCCGGAGAAUGGUAGUUCCGGUCGAAGUAUCCGAGCCGUUAAAAAGGGUAAUAGGCAAAUCCGUUAUCCUAGGUAAGGAGCGACAGCGAGUGAAGCUACGGCAGAGCGAAGCGGGUGUAAUCAAGGUGCCGGGAAAUACUGUCUAAGGCUAGGUUAUAAAAGACCGUACCGUAAACCGACACAGGUAGAUGAGAUGAGAAAUCUAAGGCGCUCGAGAGAACUCGCGUUAAGGAAUUCGGCAAAAUGCACACGUAACUUCGGAAGAAGUGUGGCCUCCUUUUUUAAAAGAUAUGGGGGCGUCACAAACCAGGCCCAGGCGACUGUUUAUCAAAAACACAGCCAUCUGCGAAUCAUCAAUGAGACGUAUAGGUGGUGACACCUGCCCGGUGCCGGAAGGUUAAGAGGAGGGGUUAGCGGGUAACUGCGAAGCUCUGAAUUGAAGCCCCGGUAAACGGCGGCCGUAACUAUAACGGUCCUAAGGUAGCGAAAUUCCUUGUCGGGUAAGUUCCGACCCGCACGAAUGGUGUAACGAUUCUGGGCACUGUCUCAACGCGAGACUCGGUGAAAUUUAUAUACCGGUAAAGAAGCCGGUUACCCAUAGUUAGACGGAAAGACCCCGUGAACCUUCACCGCAACUUAUUAUUGGGACUUGGUUUAUCAUGUGUAGAAUAGGUGGGAGGCUGUGAAACUUGGCCGUUAGGUCAGGCGGAGCCGACAAGUGAAAUACCACCCUUGAUAAAUCAGGUUUCUAACCUGUCCCGUGAAACCGGGAUAGGGACAGUGGUAGGCAGGCGGUUUGACUGGGGCGGUCGCCUCCUAAAAUGUAACGGAGGUGCGCGAAGGUCUCCUCACGCCGGUUGGAAAUCGGCGCAGCGAGUGUAAAGGCACAAGGAGGCUUAACUGCGAGAGUGACAGCUCGAGCAGAUACGAAAGUAGGUCUUAAUGAUCUGGCGGUAGCGAGUGGAAGUGCCGUCACUUAACGGAUAAAAGGUACUCCGGGGAUAACAGGCUGAUAUUCCCCAAGAGUUCACAUCGACGGGAAUGUUUGGCACCUCGAUGUCGGCUCAUCGCAUCCUGGGGCUGAAGCAGGUCCCAAGGGUUUGGCUGUUCGCCAAUUAAAGCGGUACGUGAGCUGGGUUCAGAACGUCGCGAGACAGUUCGGUCCCUAUCUGCUAUGGGCGCAGGAUACGUGAGAGGAGCUGUUUUUAGUACGAGAGGACCGAAAUGGACGAACCUCUGGUGUACCGGUUAUCCUGCCAAGGGUAAUUGCCGGGUAGCUAAGUUCGGAAGGGAUAACCGCUGAAGGCAUCUAAGUGGGAAGCCCGCCUCAAGACUACGUAUCCCUAGGGGUUUAACCCCUCUAAAGACUCCUUGCACACUACAAGGUUGAUAGGUUGGAGGUCUAAGCAUAGUAAUAUGUUAAGCCGACCAAUACUAAUAAGUCGUGAGGCUUGACCAU